Molecule: long non-coding RNA, 1468 nt
Filed under: Equus caballus (horse)
Lineage: Eukaryota; Metazoa; Chordata; Mammalia; Perissodactyla; Equidae
Description: lncRNA (ENSECAG00000060128.1)
Source: RNAcentral
GUUUGGGAGAACCACAGAAUUAAGGCUACACCCUGUGUGUGAGGCUCUAUGCAGACUUAGGCACAGGCCCUGGCCUCAAGGUGUUUAUUAUCUCUUUUGGGUUUAGAAUGGCAGCUGGCAGUUGUAUGCAUCAAUAAUUGAGAAGGAAAUAAGAACACAGAACUGUUCUAGUGCUUAGAAAGGGCUAUAGCUACCCAGGAAGAGAAGAGAUUCUUAUCAAUGUGAUUAAGGGAGUGGAAUUUCAGAGGAUCCUUGAAGGACAGGGAAGAUUUUGAAAGGUGGGAAGGAGCUCAUGAGGAAUUCCAGGGAAAGACUUGGGAGCAGGAAGGGAUAUUUUUGCUCCAGGAGACAAUGGGAUCUUAGUUUGGAUUCCCCAAAAGCCAACCGAGAAAGGAUUUAAAUACAAGUAGUUUACAUGGGAAGAGAUCUCAGAGCAAAAGCAAGGGACCAGGAGAGGGAAUUGGGGAGGAGGGAGAAGCAGCCAAAGAUGUGCUCAUGCGGUGCACCUCAGACCUGUGGGGGAUGACACGGUGAGGGGGCCUUCGGCUCCCACCCCCAGCAGUCACGGGUGUUAACUCCCCUCGAACUGCCAGGCGUGCCUAUGAGAGUGCCUGGUGGGUCCCUGCAGGUGUCCCUCACCUCGGCAUCAGAAAAGUCCCAGGGCAGGAAUCUAAGGUGUGCAAUGCAGGUGAAGGUGGGGUGUGUCAGAGAACACAUGCACGAAGCUGUGUGGAACUGGUUACCUCCACUGGGGCUAGAGGAGGGGGCAGGCCAACAGGAUGGGAAAUGGUGCCAAAGAGAUGUCUGGUUCAAGAAGCUGGAGGGAUCCUGCUGAAGUAAGAGCAUCUCAAGUCCCAUAGACCUGGGCAGUUCAGCUCAUGCAGAGGGGGAGAGGGGGAGGACAGGGGUGAUGUGCUGUGCUGUCUUCUCUCCACGAUUUACAAUAAAAUACUUCCAAUGGGGAAGCUGCAACGUAUGACUGCAGGGAUGGGAAGAGAGAGAUGCUUGGAGGGGAAAGCUAUGCCCCCCCUUUUGGGCACAUGCCCAGAGAGCAGGGGAGCCCCAGGGGGCAGAGGAGGCAGGGUUGAGGCUAAAUGCCAGUAUGCAGUCUGGGAAGGCAGCAUAGAAGAAUGAAGGAAGUGGAUGUUGUCCUCAAUUGAGACAAUAGAUAGUCGGUGGGCAACUUGUUCUUUCCUCUGGGUCUACUUCCUAAUGUGCAAAGUACAAAUAGGUGCACUAGUUGUACAGAUUUGUAAUCUAUUCAGAAAACUGUUGGAGGUGGUCAUCAAGAAGACAUGAGCACUGCCCAGGCCCAGCUCCAGGGUCAACCAAUUGGAGGCUCCCCAUCUCUCCCCUGUCCUUGGGAUGUAUGCUCUGCCUACAAACUCCCACAGUGGGAGCCGUUUUCAAGGCGGCGGCCUUGAGAGAGCAAGGUGUUGAGACCAUCUGGACAGUGUAUGUGACUGAA